Dermochelys coriacea (leatherback sea turtle) is the source of this 480-nucleotide long non-coding RNA. RefSeq lists it as uncharacterized. Lineage: Eukaryota; Metazoa; Chordata; Testudines; Dermochelyidae. The transcript is spliced from 3 exons. The record is from RefSeq and is a predicted model, not a curated record.
GAUGAAGGUAUUUUGUUCACGUUAUUAUGGGACAUCACAGACACCAGGAGCCCUACUGGACAACACGGGGGAGUAGCCAGAUUGAUGUGUAAGAGCUGUUCCUGUUGUGACCAUCUGCCUUGGAUUGUCUGAGGACCAAAAUGUGCUCCUCAUCCCAAAAGAGAAGCAUCCUAUGUUAAUACAACUGUAGGGGGAUUCUGGUUGAACAGGAUUCCUGAACAAACUUUGGAUGGAUUCAUCCACCAGGCACGUACAUCCCUAAAGACCUAUCUGUUGCCCUACUGUCCUUUAGGGUAUGAAGCGAGUCAUCCAUGGAAUCUGUGGAAAGCUUCUGGCCGUAGAAAAGUAGAUCUUCCAUAGUCGAUUGUACCUCUCACGGAAACCCAGACAACUGAAGCCAGGAAGUUUGCCUCUUCACUACCCCAGUGGAAAUAGACCUGACUGCAGUGUCCGCUGCACCGAGUGAAGCUUUUGCUAAAA